Molecule: small nucleolar RNA, 139 nt
Organism: Panicum hallii
Lineage: Eukaryota; Viridiplantae; Streptophyta; Magnoliopsida; Poales; Poaceae
Product: small nucleolar RNA Z247
Exons: 1
Source: RefSeq, a predicted model, not a curated record
CCAAUCGAUGAUGACGAGAUGGUGCACUUUAUUUUGACUGGUUUGGAUUUCGAUUACAAUCCUUUUGUCUCGUCAAUUCUUGUUCGUGUUGGCUCGGUUUCUUUGAGUGAAUUAUACUUCCACCUUCUGGCGUAUGACC